RNAcentral lists this unclassified non-coding RNA (264 nucleotides) under Hevea brasiliensis (rubber tree). The record is from RNAcentral. Lineage: Eukaryota; Viridiplantae; Streptophyta; Magnoliopsida; Malpighiales; Euphorbiaceae.
GGUAAUAGUAAAUACACACCUCUAUCUCGAGAAAUUAUUCAGUGAGACUGCUAACGCCGGGCCUUCCCCUAAUGCGUGGGGAGUUUGUAUUUUCUGCAUAAUUGUAGUGUGUUCCUCGACCGAGACUUGGAUGCCUUUUCAAAUAUUAAUGAGGUUUCACUCCGAGCACAGACAUAUUAAGAAGGCGGAGGGCAGCUGGGCGGGUGAACUUCCUCGCAAAAAGAAAACAUCUGGACGGUUUUCCCUUAUUGGUGCACCAUUCUU